Molecule: unclassified non-coding RNA, 333 nt
Filed under: soil metagenome
Description: partial contains 5.8S ribosomal RNA, internal transcribed spacer 2, and large subunit ribosomal RNA
Rfam family: 5.8S ribosomal RNA (bases 1-120)
Source: RNAcentral
GAUGAAGAACGCAGCGAAAUGCGAUAAGUAGUGUGAAUUGCAGAAUUCAGUGAAUCAUCGAAUCUUUGAACGCACAUUGCGCCCCUUGGUAUUCCAUGGGGCAUGCCUGUUCGAGCGUCAUUUGUACCUUCAAGCUCUGCUUGGUGUUGGGUGAUUGUCUAUCUUUGUAGACUCGCCUUAAAGUCAUUGGCAGCCGGCAUAUUGGCCUGGGAGCGCAGCACAAGUCGCGCUUCUUGUCAUGAAUGUUGGCGUCCAGUAAGUCUACAUAUUUUGCUCUUGACCUCGGAUCAGGUAGGGAUACCCGCUGAACUUAAGCAUAUCAAUAAGCGGGGA